This 615-nucleotide ribosomal RNA is filed under the name uncultured bacterium. RNAcentral describes it as "bacterial SSU rRNA". It matches the Rfam family "Bacterial small subunit ribosomal RNA", at positions 338 to 946 of the family's 1533-position model. The record is from RNAcentral.
CCUACGGGAGGCAGCAGUGGGGAAUUUUGGACAAUGGACGCAAGUCUGAUCCAGCCAUGCCGCGUGUGGGAAGAAGGCCUUCGGGUUGUAAACCACUUUUGUCAGGGAAGAAACGGCUCGGGUUAAUACCUUGGGUUAAUGACGGUACCUGAAGAAUAAGCACCGGCUAACUACGUGCCAGCAGCCGCGGUAAUACGUAGGGUGCAAGCGUUAAUCGGAAUUACUGGGCGUAAAGCGUGCGCAGGCGGUUAUGCAAGACAGAUGUGAAAUCCCCGGGCUCAACCUGGGAACUGCAUUUGUGACUGCAUGGCUAGAGUACGGUAGAGGGGGAUGGAAUUCCGCGUGUAGCAGUGAAAUGCGUAGAUAUGCGGAGGAACACCGAUGGCGAAGGCAAUCCCCUGGACCUGUACUGACGCUCAUGCACGAAAGCGUGGGGAGCAAACAGGAUUAGAUACCCUGGUAGUCCACGCCCUAAACGAUGUCAACUGGUUGUUGGGAGGGUUUCUUCUCAGUAACGUAGCUAACGCGUGAAGUUGACCGCCUGGGGAGUACGGCCGCAAGGUUGAAACUCAAAUGAAUUGACGGCUGNGAGNGCGAGACGACGACGAGGAGAGG